UUUUCUUCCCUUUUUCCUCAAACCCUUGCAUAUUUAUAUUUGAGCUCUCUUCUUCACUGAUCACAGGCAGCGGUUGCUCCUCUCUCUGCUUCCCUUCCCUUCCCUUCCCUUCUCCCUUCCCCCUUCCCCCUUCCCCCUAACUCUGCAUCGCUCCCUCACUCUCUCCAACCGUGUCAUCUGUUUGAUUUGAAGAAAGAGAGGCCGAAGCAGACAGGUCUCACAGCGGUUCACUUUCUUAGGACCUCACGCUCUAGACCUCCACACGCAAUAUCUCUCGUUUACUUCUAGCAGAUCUAUAUUGAGAAGGAUGGAUCCAGGAUCGCUUAACAAUAAAACUAAUGCACCCAGGAAGAUGAGAUUUGCACCCAAAGCUCCCCCGUGUCGAGCGCCGAAGCCUGAAGUUAAGACUGAGGCUACUGGAAACGAUAAUACUGCCCAGGCCAUGGAUUUGCUGCGCAGAAUAAAUGAAUGUUCCAUGAAUGCAAGGCCUAAGUUGAAAAAACGGUUAGUUCCUUACUGUUAUCUUAUGC
Carica papaya (papaya) is the source of this 530-nucleotide non-coding RNA. The record is from RefSeq and is a predicted model, not a curated record. Lineage: Eukaryota; Viridiplantae; Streptophyta; Magnoliopsida; Brassicales; Caricaceae.